GAUGAACGCUGGCGGCGUGCCUAAUACAUGCAAGUCGAGCGAACGGACGAGAAGCUUGCUUCUCUGAUGUUAGCGGCGGACGGGUGAGUAACACGUGGAUAACCUACCUAUAAGACUGGGAUAACUUCGGGAAACCGGAGCUAAUACCGUAUAAUAUUUUGAACCGCAUGGUUCAAAAGUGAAAGACGGUCUUGCUGUCACUUAUCGAUGGAUCCGGGCUGCAUUAGCUAGUUGGUAAGGUAACGGCUUACCAAGGCAACGAUGCAUAGCCGACCUGAGAGGGGGAUCGGCCACACGGGAACUGAGACACGGUCAAGACUCCUACGGGAGGCAGCAGUAGGGAAUCUUCCGCAAUGGGCGAAAGCCUGACGGAGCAACGCCGCGUGAGUGAUGAAGGUCUUCGGAUCGUAAAACUCUGUUAUUAGGGAAGAACAUAUGUGUAAGUAACUGUGCACAUCUUGACGGUACCUAAUCAGAAAGCCACGGCUAACUACGUG
This 497-nucleotide ribosomal RNA is filed under the name uncultured bacterium. RNAcentral describes it as "partial 16S ribosomal RNA". It matches the Rfam family "Bacterial small subunit ribosomal RNA", at positions 28 to 507 of the family's 1533-position model. The record is from RNAcentral.